AUGCCCGUCGGUCGCCCCUCGGUUCGUUGGUUUGCCCCUGUAUUCUUUCUAUUUUCAGAUACCUGCUGCUUCAUGUUCGUUUCAGCAAAUACACAAUUUCAGCAAGCUGCUACCCAAUCUGAUGGAAACAUAGUUUACUUUGCAUUACCACAACUUUUCUCACCGUUAAAUUUAGGUGAUUACCUAAACUUUGCCUUACCUCGACUUCUCUCACCGUUAUACGGAUUUCACUCUUCAAGCAGAUGCGAACAUACUUAUUCCGGUGAUUCUCCGUCGCUGUCAGAGAAUCAUGAUCGUUCCCAGUUUACGGACCUUACAAACAAUUCCACAUCAGGGAAAGAUAAUCAUGCGUAUGAGACUGUGCAUGCUAUAAAACCGCAGGGCAGCAAGGGAUGGUAUGCCCGAAUGUCUGAUGAAAAGAAGGCUGAAUACCUCCUGAAAUGGCAUCAGGCACGGGCUGAGAAAAAGGCUGCUAAUGCCAACUGUCAGCAAGUAUCUCAACAACAUUCUUCUUCAUGUUUGUCUCUGCAACGUACGCGUUUCACCGAUAUAACCAACACAGGUACAACUGCAAGCUUCGGGAGUUCUGAUCGUCAACCUGCGGUUACUAAUGUUGCAUGCAAAAAACAAGGUUGGUACACCGGUCUGUCCGAAGAGAAGAAAGCUCAACACCUGCAGAAGCUCCGGUUGGCCCGACUAGAAAAGAAAGUUGCAGCAAAAAGUGUCACUGCUAAUGUACCUCAGUCGCAUACCCCACCUCUUUCCACAGUCAUGUACGUGGGCCCAGUUGACCAUGAUACAUAUUCCCCUCUACGCAUGAGGGAAGUAGCACUGAUCGACACUGGCAUGCGAAUUAUCUUCCUACACAUUUUUUAA
This 876-nucleotide ribosomal RNA is filed under the name Triticum aestivum (bread wheat). RNAcentral's name for it is "partial small subunit ribosomal RNA". The record is from RNAcentral. Lineage: Eukaryota; Viridiplantae; Streptophyta; Magnoliopsida; Poales; Poaceae.